AUAGAUAGAUUCGCCCUAUUUGUGGUUUCUAGGACUGAAGUAAUGAUUAAUAGGACGGUGGGGCUUCGUAUUUAACUGUCAGAGGUGAAAUUCUUAGAUUUGUUAAAGACGACUACUGCGAAAGCAUUUGCCAAAGAUGUUUUCAUUAAUCAAGAACGAAAGUUAGGGGCUCGAAGACGAUCGAUACCGUCGUAGUCUUAACCAUAAACUAUGCCGACUAGAGAUAGGAAAACGUCAUGCUUGACUUCUCCCCCUUAUGAGAAAUCAAGUCUUUGGG
RNAcentral lists this ribosomal RNA (277 nucleotides) under Toxoplasma gondii. RNAcentral describes it as "partial ribosomal RNA". It matches the Rfam family "Eukaryotic small subunit ribosomal RNA", at positions 823 to 1111 of the family's 1831-position model. Lineage: Eukaryota; Apicomplexa; Conoidasida; Eucoccidiorida; Sarcocystidae. The record is from RNAcentral.